Molecule: ribosomal RNA, 769 nt
Filed under: uncultured Bacteroidota bacterium
Lineage: Bacteria; Pseudomonadati; Bacteroidota
Description: bacterial SSU rRNA
Rfam family: Bacterial small subunit ribosomal RNA
Source: RNAcentral
GCAGGAGUAGCAAUACUUGCUGGCGACCGGCAAACGGGUGCGGAACACGUACGCAAUCUACCUUCAACUGGGGCAUAGCCCGAAGAAAUUCGGAUUAACACCCCAUAAGAUAACUAACAGGCAUCUGUUUGGUUAUUAAAACUGAGGUGGUUGGAGAUGAGCGUGCGUCCCAUUAGAUAGUUGGUAGGGUAACGGCCUACCAAGUCGACGAUGGGUAGCUGAUGUGAGAGCAUGAUCAGCCACACGGGCACUGAGACACGGGCCCGACUCCUACGGGAGGCAGCAGUGAGGAAUAUUGGUCAAUGGACGCAAGUCUGAACCAGCCAUACCGCGUGCAGGAUGAAGGCCUUCUGGGUUGUAAACUGCUUUUAUCAGGGAAGAAACCACAGAUUUCUAUUUGUGCCGACGGUACCUGAGGAAUAAGCACCGGCUAACUCCGUGCCAGCAGCCGCGGUAAUACGGAGGGUGCAAGCGUUAUCCGGAUUCACUGGGUUUAAAGGGUGUGUAGGCGGGCUUGUAAGUCCGAGGUGAAAUCUCCGAGCUCAACUUGGAAACUGCCUUGGAUACUAUAGGUCUUGAAUAUCGUUGAGGUAGGCGGAAUAUGUCAUGUAGCGGUGAAAUGCUUAGAUAUGACAUAGAACACCGAUUGCGGAGGCAGCUUGCUAAACGAUUAUUGACGCUGAGGCACGAAAGCGUGGGGAUCAAACAGGAUUAGAUACCCUGGUAGUCCACGCCCUAAACGAUGAUUACUCGACAUACGCGAUAUACA